UAGAGUUUGAUCCUGGCUCAGAUUGAACGCUGGCGGCAUGCUUUACACAUGCAAGUCGAACGGCAGCGCGGGCUUCGGCCUGGCGGCGAGUGGCGAACGGGUGAGUAAUAUAUCGGAACGUACCCAAGNNNGGGGGAUAACGUAGCGAAAGUUACGCUAAUACCGCAUACGAUCCAAGGAUGAAAGCAGGGGACCGCAAGGCCUUGUGCUCCUGGAGCGGCCGAUAUCUGAUUAGCUAGUUGGUGAGGUAAAGGCUCACCAAGGCAACGAUCAGUAGCUGGUCUGAGAGGACGACCAGCCACACUGGAACUGAGACACGGUCCAGACUCCUACGGGAGGCAGCAGUGGGGAAUUUUGGACAAUGGGGGCAACCCUGAUCCAGCAAUGCCGCGUGAGUGAAGAAGGCCUUCGGGUUGUAAAGCUCUUUUGUCAGGGAAGAAAAGGGAGUGGCUAAUAUCCAUUCCUGCUGACGGUACCUGAAGAAUAAGCACCGGCUAACUACGUGCCAGCAGCCGCGGUAAUACGUAGGGUGCAAGCGUUAAUCGGAAUUACUGGGCGUAAAGCGUGCGCAGGCGGUUCCGUAAGUCUGUCGUGAAAUCCCCGGGCUUAACCUGGGAAUGGCGAUGGAGACUGCGAGGCUAGAGUUUGGCAGAGGGGGGUAGAAUUCCACGUGUAGCAGUGAAAUGCGUAGAGAUGUGGAGGAACACCGAUGGCGAAGGCAGCCCCCUGGGUCAAAACUGA
This 741-nucleotide ribosomal RNA is filed under the name bacterium enrichment culture clone ADE_85. RNAcentral's name for it is "bacterial SSU rRNA". It matches the Rfam family "Bacterial small subunit ribosomal RNA", at positions 1 to 743 of the family's 1533-position model. The record is from RNAcentral.